AAUAAACGCUGGCGGCGUGUCUUAAGCAUGCAAGUCGGACGGCAAGCCGCCUUCGGGCGGCCUAGAGUGGCGGACUGGUGAGUAACACGUGGGUGAUAUACCUUUUGGACGGGGAUAGCCCCUAGAAAUAGGGGGUAAUACCGGAUAAGGCCGUGCGGGUUGGAGCCGCACGGGGAAAGGCGCUAUGGCGCCGCCGAAAGAAUAGCCUGCGACCUAUCAGCUAGUUGGUGAGGUAACGGCCCACCAAGUCGACGAUCGGUAGCCGGACUGAGAGGUUGAACGGCCACAUUGGGACUGAGACACGGCCCAGACUCCUACGGGAGGCAGCAGUGGGGAAUAUUGGGCAAUGGGCGAAAGCCUGACCCAGCAACGCCGCGUGAAGGAAGAAGGUCUUCGGAUUGUAAACUUCUUUUAUUAAGGACGAAAAAUGACGGUACUUAAUGAAUAAGCUCCGGCUAACUACGUG
Molecule: ribosomal RNA, 466 nt
Filed under: uncultured bacterium
Lineage: Bacteria
Description: bacterial SSU rRNA
Rfam family: Bacterial small subunit ribosomal RNA
Source: RNAcentral